GAGCGUCACACGCGUGAUGACGUGUUGACAUGCACGAUGGGGCACUUGUUGCCCGACCCGUGAGGGAGAGGUCGCUGACGAGACGAUAAAAGUGAGUCAGCCACCGCUCUCAUCAAAUCUAUCAACGCGACGAUGACAACAAAAUGACAUGCAUGUAAAAGUAUGCCACAAGCCGAUGUUGAUAUAUACAGGUUGCUGCAGAGAUGAAGGCGGGUAGAGCGUUGGGUGGUACAAUCUCACCUGUCAAUCAACGAUAAGUACAGGAAAAUCUCGACGGAGUCAACAGGAAUAGGCUCCACGCAUCUGGAAUCGAAACCGGAAUUUCCCGAGCGAACACUGCAACAACUUGGCUACCCUACCGCCUUUCAGCACAUCGAAAAGGGUCAACAGUGGCAAUAAAUACCAAAUACAUACAUUUAUAUGUUCCAUAAUAAUCCACAGACCACAAGCCGUGUCAAACAGAGAGUGCAAGGGAUUAGAAACGAAACGAAAACAUUCUCGUUGCGUUCCAAUGGUGAACGUGGAAAGUGUUCCCGAUACAUCCAUUAAUCGGCUUGCUGACAGUCACCCGCAUCUGUUGAAAGUCCGUGUGAGACAAGCAAGGACGCUUUCAAUACUACCGAGUUACGUAUUGUGAAUGUAGACAUACACCCAAACUACACAGCAUUUGAUAGGGCUGUUGCUUAUAUUCCGUGAUAAGUCAAACUGGUUAUUCACACCCUGUGCGUUUAAAGAACAUGAACCAAUACAGUAUCCCUGUCUAAGACUGGGUAGUAUGUGUCGACGAAGACGCAUGUGGCCUCAGACAAGUCUGCCCCUUCACCCUGCCUCUGUGUGAAUCCACACUACUGCUCAUAUAUGUGUACCUCAUUAACACGGUAAAUUUCCGGAAACGUAAUAUCGAUAAUUCCGGAAAACGUUCUGCAGAAUUUCUGCGGUAGUUUGGCAGAAUUAUGAAGAUAUCCUUAAUGAAAAUCGCCGGUCGUUCGAAUAACGAGGCGCGUUGACGUAUUUAAGGCCUUCCACUUGGGGAAAGGAUACGUUUGUAGAAUUAAACGCUACCUUCGUAUAAUUACCAUACCGUGCGAAUGUGGUAUGACAGACAUUUCGAGAAUGCUUCGAGACAAAAAGAGCCUCUGAGGUUAGUGUUGAGAGGUAGUGUGGCAUUCUCGUACAAGCUCUACAUUGAUGUCUACUAAAUUCUAAAAUGGGGAUUCACAGUCUGAUUCAAAGCGCAACAGCCUUUAAG
This is a long non-coding RNA of Haliotis rubra (blacklip abalone), 1249 nucleotides long. RefSeq lists it as uncharacterized. The transcript is spliced from 3 exons. The record is from RefSeq and is a predicted model, not a curated record. NCBI's taxonomy places the organism in Eukaryota, Metazoa, Mollusca, Gastropoda, Lepetellida, Haliotidae.